UAGUUAGCUUGCUAAUAUAUUUAGUAGCAAAUGGGUGAGUAACACGUACCUAACCUACCUUUUGGACCGGGAUAACUAUUGGAAACAGCAGCUAAUACCGGAUAAAAUAAAAAAAUGCAUGUUUUUUUAUUAAAAGGAGCCUUUAAAGCUCCACCAAAAAAUGGGGGUGCGCAACAUUAGUUAGUUGGUAGGGUAAAGGCUUACCAAGACGAUGAUGUUUAGCGGGGCCAAGAGGCUGUACCGCCACACUGGGAUUGAGAUACGGCCCAGACUCCUACGGGAGGCAGCAGUAAGGAAUAUUCCACAAUGAGCGAAAGCUUGAUGGAGCGACACAGAGUGCAG
RNAcentral lists this ribosomal RNA (342 nucleotides) under Mesomycoplasma ovipneumoniae. RNAcentral's name for it is "Mycoplasma ovipneumoniae partial 16S ribosomal RNA". It matches the Rfam family "Bacterial small subunit ribosomal RNA", at positions 72 to 406 of the family's 1533-position model. The record is from RNAcentral. Lineage: Bacteria; Bacillati; Mycoplasmatota; Mycoplasmoidales; Metamycoplasmataceae.